Small nuclear RNA from Stegodyphus dumicola, 110 nucleotides. The record is from RefSeq and is a predicted model, not a curated record. Lineage: Eukaryota; Metazoa; Arthropoda; Arachnida; Araneae; Eresidae.
GUAGUUGUUUCGUUAGUACAUAUCAUAAAACUGGAACAAUACAUAAAAAAUCACCAAGGCUCCUGCACAAGAUUGGAAUAAGGACACACUGUGAGAAUUAUCCAUUUCUA